GAUGAGAACGUAGCGAAAUGCGAUAAGUAAUGUGAAUUGCAGAAUUCAGUGAAUCAUCGAAUCUUUGAACGCACAUUGCGCCCGCCAGUAUUCUGGCGGGCAUGCCUGUUCGAGCGUCAUUUCAACCAUCAAGCCCCCGGCUUGUGUUGGGGACCUGCGGCUGCCGCAGGCCCUGAAAAGCAGUGGCGGGCUCGCUGUCACACCGAGCGUAGUAGAUUUCAUCUCGCUCAGGGCGUGCUGCGGGUUCCGGCCGUUAAACCACCUUCAUAACCCAAGGUUGACCUCGGAUCAGGUAGGAAGACCCGCUGAACUUAAGCAUAUCAAUAAGCGGAGGA
RNAcentral lists this unclassified non-coding RNA (335 nucleotides) under soil metagenome. RNAcentral describes it as "partial contains 5.8S ribosomal RNA, internal transcribed spacer 2, and large subunit ribosomal RNA". The stretch from base 5 to 119 matches the Rfam family "5.8S ribosomal RNA", at positions 40 to 154 of the family's 154-position model. The record is from RNAcentral.